GUGCGAGAGUAACUGCUCGCACCUUGACGGUACCUAACCAGAAAGCCACGGCUAACUACGUGCCAGCAGCCGCGGUAAUACGUAGGUGGCAAGCGUUGUCCGGAAUUAUUGGGCGUAAAGGGCUCGCAGGCGGUUUCUUAAGUCUGAUGUGAAAGCCCCCGGCUCAACCGGGGAGGGUCAUUGGAAACUGGGAAACUUGAGUGCAGAAGAGGAGAGUGGAAUUCCACGUGUAGCGGUGAAAUGCGUAGAGAUGUGGAGGAACACCAGUGGCGAAGGCGACUCUCUGGUCUGUAACUGACGCUGAGGAGCGAAAGCGUGGGGAGCGAACAGGAUUAGAUACCCUGGUAGUCCACGCCGUAAACGAUGAGUGCUAAGUGUUAGGGGGUUUCCGCCCCUUAGUGCUGCAGCUAACGCAUUAAGCACUCCGCCUGGGGAGUACGGUCGCAAGACUGAAACUCAAAGGAAUUGACGG
Molecule: ribosomal RNA, 472 nt
Filed under: uncultured bacterium
Lineage: Bacteria
Description: bacterial SSU rRNA
Rfam family: Bacterial small subunit ribosomal RNA
Source: RNAcentral